RNAcentral lists this transfer-messenger RNA (350 nucleotides) under Acidimicrobiales bacterium. It matches the Rfam family "transfer-messenger RNA". From Rfam's summary of the family: Bacterial tmRNA, also known as 10Sa RNA or SsrA, is named for its dual tRNA and mRNA-like properties. Its role is to liberate the mRNA from a stalled ribosome. To accomplish this part of the tmRNA is used as a reading frame that ends in a translation stop signal. The record is from RNAcentral. Lineage: Bacteria; Bacillati; Actinomycetota; Acidimicrobiia; Acidimicrobiales.
GGGGGUGAUCGGUUUCGACUUUGGUCGUCAAUUCGGGAGAAGCGAGCCGUGGUCUCCGGAGCCACGUUAAAGAGCCGGAACAAAAAACAAACGCGAAUACUGAUUUCGCGCUGGCUGCUUAAUACGUAGCCCGUCCGUCCGGUCUCAGCCCUGCAGGCCGGUAGCGGGCGUCAUUCAGCGGGGCUUACCCGAGCGGUUCUGCCGAUUGGCUGCCGGGGACACUCAAGGUCGGUCGGGGACCUCCGAAUUGGCCGGGGGCGGCGGAGGUCCCGAGACUUAGCUGCCGGCUGCGCUCGGAGAAGGCCCGAUGAGAAGCCGAAGGACGCGGGUUCGAUUCCCGCCACCUCCAA